RNAcentral lists this long non-coding RNA (308 nucleotides) under Solanum tuberosum (potato). RNAcentral describes it as "long non-coding RNA (STUB_LNC009917)". The record is from RNAcentral. Lineage: Eukaryota; Viridiplantae; Streptophyta; Magnoliopsida; Solanales; Solanaceae.
ACUAGAAAUAUUGGGACAUGCCCAAACUAGAUCUAGCAAAAUUGAAACUAAAGAGUAAAAGCGAUAAAGAUAAACAUGUCACUAGUCCUCGAAGAAUGAGGACUCACCACUGAUGUUGCUGAACUGGAGACCGGGAAUCGAUCUAAUCGUGAUCUAGAUACUGGGAACCUGAACCUACAUUACGAAAAGAUGUAGCGCACGUAUGCGUCAGUACUUGAAAGGUACUGAGCAUGCAGGAUAGAGUAAAGCUGAAAUAACAUAUAACUGAACAAAGCAAUAAAGCAAUGAAAUAAUCUGAACAUGAUAUA